This is a long non-coding RNA of Solanum tuberosum (potato), 131 nucleotides long. RefSeq lists it as uncharacterized. The record is from RefSeq and is a predicted model, not a curated record. Lineage: Eukaryota; Viridiplantae; Streptophyta; Magnoliopsida; Solanales; Solanaceae. The transcript has 2 exons.
AAAUUUUAAUAAUUGCAGUAUUUUCACUUUCACUUUGUUUCAAGAGACAAGAGUUACUAUCCAUGUUCUAAGGAAGAAUGGAAGAGUAAUCUCAUCUUGAAGAAUGGAAGAUUGAAUUCUACAAAAUACAU